This 253-nucleotide ribosomal RNA is filed under the name uncultured bacterium. Its description in RNAcentral is "partial 16S ribosomal RNA". It matches the Rfam family "Bacterial small subunit ribosomal RNA", at positions 524 to 776 of the family's 1533-position model. The record is from RNAcentral.
UACGUAGGGACCACGCGUUGUUCGGAUUUACUGGGCGUAAAGGGCGCGUAGGCGGCUUGACAAGUCACUUGUGAAAUCUCCGGGCUUAACUCGGAACGGCCAAGUGAAACUGUCAUGCUAGAGUGCAGAAGGGGCAAUCGGAAUUCUUGGUGUAGCGGUGAAAUGCGUAGAUAUCAAGAGGAACACCUGAGGUGAAGACGGGUUGCUGGGCUGACACUGACGCUGAGGCGCGAAAGCCAGGGGAGCAAACGGG